ACGACCUGCAGAUCCCAACACUCCAGGAUGGUGCAGGACAUCAGUCUCAAGGCAUCUUCCUUCAUGUUCUCUGGGGGAGAGACUGACUGUGGGAAUCAGCCUUGGUUGCAAAGGGAAGCUGAGAGAAGAGAGCAGCGCAGGGCACGGACAUGCCAGCCCAGUUACUGGAGAUAUCUGCCGCUGGAGACGGGUUCAGAGCCUAGUUUAAUAUCCCGAAGCAGGAAAGCUGAGAAUGUGCUGGAAAUGCUUGUUGAGGCCGACGUGUCAGGCAGCCCAUCAGUGCAGGAUGGAGCCUCGGUUGCAGAGAACUGCAGGGAGGUGGUGUGGAAGCUCAUUGGCUGUAAGAACUGCUCCGCUGCGACAGUGCUGCUGGAGGUGGUGGUGAACAGAUUUCUGAUGCCAAGCUGAUCAUCGUCUCAGCACCAGCAAAGACAUGCUAUUCCCGUCCCUGACGAGCAUUUCCUUCUUGAGAAAGUGAUUUUGAGGGGCUGCAGAUGUACUUGGAGGAAGGUUUGGGCCGGGACAGAUGACGUGCCCAUGUGGGAGCUGGACGGCCCCUCUCUGGGUAGCUCCCUGGGAACUCCCAUGUCCGCCUCCCGCUGCCUCCUGAUCCAAGGUGGAUGCACUUCAUUUGAGGCCUGGUCUUUCGUCCUUCCCUCUCCUCUUCGGGGACCACUUUGUCUAGUGCUAGACUCAUUGUGCUUCCCCCUUGGGGCUUCCUUCAGCCCUCAGCCGAUUCAAGACUUCAAAAGGAAGUUGGACAUGGAGAGGAAAAAAGAAAUGAAACCAGGAAGGAACCGCCAAGAAGCACACAACGCGUUUAUGCUGCCUUAACCACACGCUUGACUCUAAAUGGGUUUAAAAAUUCUUACUUGUGUUAGCCCAAGAAAGUUUCUGCAGCCGUCUUUUUGGUUUAAACAAUCAAAUACUCAAUAAUUCUGGGGCUGGUGGGCCAGGAUAUGGGUUACUCAGAUCUUCUGCUUCACCCCAUGCUCGGUCCCUGAGCCAGUUCUGUCAUUGGUUCUUUCAGACCAGGGCAGGAAAAGUCAAGAAAGCAAAAGCGGAUUCUAGGCUGUGGGGUUUGCUGUUUGCUAGCCCCCUGGCAGAGAUGCCUGUCCUUGCAGUCCUGAACUGGUGGCCAAGUGUGCAUGCAUGCACGUGCAGGUGUGUGCAUGUGCAGGUGUGCAUGCGUGUAUGUGCGCACACACAUUCAUGCUUGUACAUGUUUGUGUACACGCACACUUUUUUCUGCUUUCAAUUUCAAGCUGUUGCCUCCCUGAUGUGUCUGUUUAGUGACUUGAGCCAGAAAGAUUCCCGGUUCUAUGUGGGAUGAGAAUGAACGCAGGCAGGUCUCCACAGAAGUGAGUAAAGUAGAGCUGAGAAGAAGGACAUUGUCUCAUGCCAGCCUGUCCAAUAGCCACUUUGCCCCAGCCCUGCCUCAAGCCCCAGAGAGAUGACAAGGCUCUCUCUGUUUGUCGACUCCUUGAAGCUCAGAAAGGUGGGUCAAGAGGUGCCCGUCAAGCGUUUAGGCAAGCACAGGACCCUGAUCUUUACUAAGUCUCCACAUCUCUCUUGCACAGCCCUGGGCUCAGGGCUUGGUCCCCUCUGGGCAGGCCAUCCAGACUAAGUGACAGUCAGAUUGUGUGUGGGGAGGCUAGAGACAUCCAUUCUUCAUGGAUCAGCCUGAAUGGCUGGACAGAUCUUGCAAAUGGAUUGUGUAAGACAGAGUGUGGAAGAGGAGGCUGUGAUCAGUGGCUUGGAGAGCAGAGUGUGGUCAGGCGCUAAACCUAAGGCUUUUCUGGGAAGAGCUGUUAAGAUUAGACUGUUCUCCCAAAAAGCCAAUAAUUCUGAGUGUCUCCAUUAAUGCCUAGGUAGCCCAUACUCUCACCCAGCCGGUGCCCUUCAGCCUGGAACCUUUGGAUGGAGGAUUGGACCUUGUGACCUUCAAGUUCCCUUCCGAACCAAAUAUGCUCUAACCCAGGUAUGCUGUUAUUUUCUUAUAUAAUGGGAGCAAGGAGGCACUGGGAUGCCCAAGGCGUCUAGGGUCUCACCAUGACACCCCUGGUCUCCUGCCCUAGUGGUCUGGCUGGGUCCUGCACAGAGCCCUCUCUUGUAAUCAGCCAGAUCUCCAAGAGCCACGGCUCCACACAGACCUACCCAUAGAUGGACGGCAGGGUGUGCCCUGCACACAUUCAUCCCUGCCCCGCUCAGCUUCCUGCCCCUCUGCCUUCGUUCAGCCUUGGUCCCCAGGAGAAGCAGACUCUUGGAGGCAAUUCCAACAGGCUGCAAUUCCCAGUCCAGCUCCGGCCCUUACUUCCUGCACGUCUCAGCCUGGCCUCCUCAUCUGUAAAGCAGGGGUGAAUACUACCUCUUUGGAUGCAGUGGAGUGUGGUGGGUCAUGGUGGAUCAGAGCAUGGGCUUGGAGCUAGACCACAUGCCACUCGCCAGCAAUGUGUGUCGCACAUUUGAAAACUUCACAUUUUCCUGCUGCCUCCACAUCCCCAGACACAGGUGGUGUGCACCUGCCUGGGUGACCCAGUGCACUAUUGUCACGGGGCCGGCCGUGCCACAAGUUCCCCUGACUGUGACCUAGUAACGUUCAAAUGCACUGGUGGAAUUCCCUCGUGUCUGUUUUUGGUGUGCUUCACUCUGAUCCCCAAUAAAAAAGCCUCACCCGCUCUCUGCCCCCCACCUGCUUGGUGGAGCCUGGGCCCUGGGUGCUCCUCCCAUGCGACCCCUCCCAGCGGAGUGUGCAGUGACUCUGUGGGGCCUGUGAGUCUGGGAACACCUGUUGCCCUGCGCCUCUCCUGUGCCUCCUCUUGCGGCUGCCCCCGAUUGACCAUUACCUAAAAUAAUCACACACACAGUGUGGUUCUGGACAAAUCACUUCCCUGCCCCUGCCCUCUGUUUCCUCCCCUGUCAAUGCACAUAGUAAGAAUAAGCUGCUCUUUGGGGCACAGAGAGGACAGAGUUGAUGUGUGAGUGUUGAGAAUGGUGCUUGGCAGAGAGUUCAGAUUAUUGGGACUUUGCAGGUUGCUAUAGUAAGGACAGAGGUAGGUGGCUCUCGGUGAACAGUGGCCAUUUGUGUUCUAAUCAGGCCCCAGGAGGAAUGCAGGGGGCUGUUUCCCUGUGCUGCAGGGACUACUGGCCUUUAAGGGCUCCUCAGAACCAAGGGUCUGGGUCAGAAGAAAGGUUCCAGGUGAGGGCUUCUGCCUUCCCUCUUGUGCUGUCCAGAGGUGAGUCCUGUCCUCCCUCAACAAGAUGACCUGGUGGAAGGAAGGAGGCAGCGGAGACCACGCGGCUUGGCUGCCUGCCUGUGGGCAGACCUGCAGGUGUGAGGGGCGGAAGCUUGGCCUGAAGCCUGAGGCCAAGCUGAAGGCCAAGCCUGCUGGGGGGCACAGAGCCAGACAGGACACAGUGGGCUCGCCAACACUGCAGAGGAAAGGGGUUCUCUCUCUGGGCCCAACAGCACUGGUCCCGCAAGCCUCAGGCCCCCUAAGGGCUGGUCGGUGCUGCACAGAGAGAGUGUCUCCACCCCAGGCCAUGGUACGUGCCCGGUUCACUGUCCCACCACGUGCCUCCAUCCAGCUACGUUGGUCAGGUCUAGGAUGUGCCACUCGGCUCUCGGGGACCUCAGCUGAGCGACCGCAUUGCCCAGGAUGCUGGAAAUCCUCACGAUAGGCCCCAGGCCGGAGGGCUGGGUGGGGGUAUGGCUGGCCCCCUGGCACACCAGUCCCCAGUGCUGGAAAAGAGCUCAAAGCCCAUGCCCUGGGGCCUUCACCCUGCAGGCCUAUCACAUCCACUCUCCCAGCGCCCUGGCUGUAGGCUCUCCCUCUCUUCCAAACGGGAGGGCCGUCCUGCAGGCCCGUACACAGGCGCUUCAUAUCCACAGCUGGAAACUAGGUCGCUGCUGGUGAGAGGCAGCAGGGGACGGUCCACAGGCUUUCGCAGCACCCUUCCUCUGCCACUGGUUCCCUGGGUCACUGUGCAAAAGCAGAGGCUGCAAAGUCUGUGGUGGAACCCGGGAAGCCGGAGAAGGAACACGGGGGCCUUUGAGGCUUCUUCCCGCUGCCCGAUUCCUUUCAGGCUCGGCCUGAUUUCUCUUUGAGACUUGGGCUGGUUCUGCCCCUCACACUUCCUUGCUGGUCUGGACAUUUUUCAGCCUCAUCUGUCCUCUUCUUCUCUUCCCACACACUAGGCUUUGACCCUUGGGAGGGGCUGUGGGGUGAAGAGAGGCCCCAGGCAGCAGGGAGCUUGCCUCUGCCAAGAGGGCAUGGAAGUUAGGGAGUUGGGGUCUGCCUGAGUCCUGAGCUGGGCUCCAGGCCUCUGGUCCUGCACAUUCCACCCCAGCCUCCCCUCCUGACACUCUGGGCAGCUGCGGAUCUUCCCAGCUUCCCAGGAAGAAGGCUGUCAAGGAGGCUCUGGUGCCUGUAACACCAGCCAUGCACCAGGCGAUCUCCAAACAUUCAGAUCAGUGGGAUCUGAUCAGGCCUCUAGAUCUAACCACCAGGUGGGCAUGUUAGACAACAUCAUGGGGGUGUCAUCAGAAAAUCCAGACUGGGAGAAACGUGACAGGACAAAUGACGUGGUUCUUCAGCACAUACAUUGCAAGAGGAGAAAAAAGGAGAGAGAGAGAUUGAUGGUGGAACUUAGAGGCUACAGGAGACUUAGGAGACCAAUUAACUGAUUUUAACACAUGGAUGUAAUUUAGAUUCCGACCCCAAAAACUUUUUUAAAAAGAACAGUUUAUGGGUCAGUUGGGGAGAGCUGAAACUGCCUGGUUAUUUCGUGAUAUUAAGGAAUCAACUGUUAAUAGUUUUUAGGUAUGAUAAUGGUAAUGUUACUAUGUUUUCUAAAAGAGGAUCCUUAAGUUUUAGAGGUACAUACUGAAAUAUUUGUUUUUUAAAUGUUUUAAAAAGUUUAUUGCUCUUUCAGAAAUAUGCUGACAUAUUGACAGAUGAUUUGAUAUCUGGGAUUGCUUCAAAACCAUCCUGGGGUGGGGAGAGGGAGGGAUGGAGGGGAGGGUGCAGGCCAGCGAAUGGAGAUGGACUAUGAAGUGGUAACUGUUGAGCCCUGGGUGAUGGGAAGAUGGAGGUUCAUUAAAGCACUUUUUAAAAUUUUUGCAUAUCUUUGAAAAUUGCCAUGAUAAAAUCUGGAAGGAGCAGGAAGAGAAACAGGAAGAGAAAGGAUGAAAGAGAGGGAGAGGAGGACGAGGGGAAAAAAGAGGAGGAGGAGGAGGAGGAGGAAGAGAAGGCAGAGGAAAAGGGAGAAGGAGGAGAGGAAGGAGAAGGGAAGGGAGAAGGGGAAGGAGAGGAGGGAGAAGAAGGAAGGGGCAGAGGAGGAGGAGAGGGAGGAGGAGAGACAGAUGAGAGGGAGCUACUACUGCAGCUGCCGAGGCUGGCCUCCUGGCCUGUGUCCUAAGAUCCUGGAGAACACCAGGCUGGCGAGCAGCCACCCCCUCUCUGGCUGCCCCAUGGCCUCAGCCGCUUCCCACUCCAGGACUGGAGCCCUUCUUCCUUGCUGGGGACCUCACUGGGAAAUAGGGUGGUAGUGCAGGGUCCCCCUCCCUGCAGAGCAUGGAGAGGCAGCCCUUCUGCUCCUAGGAGAUGGUGCUGUUGCCCAGGAAGCCGGUCACCAUGACGAGAGUACCCGCUCAGAUGAGGAUGCAGGCGGAGGCGGUGAAGGUGCUGGAGGCCAGGAUGCUGAGGUACCUCCAGACACCACCCAGGCUGCAGCAAAUGGAAUGGGAGAGGCUAACACACCAUAAUUUUUCAAUUCCAUGAUGCCCAUUUUUUCUCACAUUUUAACGUCUCUAAAAUUGGGGCACAUCUUAUGAUUGAUGGCAUCUUACAAUUACACUUGGCAGUACUUUUUCUUGGUGAUACAAAAAAACAACAGUGUAUCUUACAACUGAUAGCUUAGAUUCAGUGAAAUCCUAGAAUACAACAGGUUUGAAAAUUCUCUGUGGGUGAGUGUUAUCUGUGGCCCAUACAACCUCCAUGACCAGUGAGGGAUUUCCUGAGUCUGGGUUCCAGCAAAAUAUCCUGGACAGAAUUCUUUUUGACCCUCUACAGCAUGCCUGGAAGGCUUGGGCACGGGUCCCAACUGUGUAUAACUAGCUCCGUGACCUAAAGAGAGUCCCUGAACCUCUCCAGACCUCAGUUUCUUCACCUCUCGAAGAAGGGAGUGAGUUAUAUUAGACCAGUAGUUCCCAGCCUGUAACUACCAAGGACCGUUUGAUUAUUUUUUCCCAUGGGUUUUAUGUUUUGAGGGCUUUUGCCUAUCAACGUGCAUUAAUUAAGUAAUAAUUCACUUCUCAUUUUUUAUUAAUCAAAGGCACAUAUAGUGCCAGGAAGAGAUUCUGAACAGCAUGAGACAGUCAACUUGACCACACUGAGUUGAUCUAACUCCAGCAAAAGGCCAAGAAUCUUGGCUUUUCAUGAGAAUAGCCUCUUUAUAGAAAUAUGCACAUUAUCUGUGAUCUGUUAGGCUUCUUAAGCCUGUCCCUCAAACCAGAGUGGGGGCUGAGCAUAUGGCUCUGGGGCCACCAAAAGACAUAUGUUUGGACUGGUCUGGGGACCAUCUGUUGGGAGACACAGAACCUCACUGAAAGCCUGAUGAAAAGCUUUGCAUCCUUUGCCCAGAGAAAUGGUCAUUCACACAAAACAAUACCCUUGGGGCCAGGGGCUGAAGUCUAUUUUGCACUACCUAAUGACCUGUGGCCUUUAUGGUCUGUAGGCCUCCUGCACCCCUAUGGUGCCCUAAGACCUGGCUGUACAAUCACCUGGGGAGCUUUGAAAAACCCAGGCCCCCCUGCAGGCCCAUCCGUGUCUGUGGGAGUGGGACCCAGCCAUGAAUUUUUUAUGAAGUUCCUGGGUGAUCCCAGCUGAGAACCAUUGCCCAGAAUUAACGAAUGGGGUCCAGGUGUCCUGCCCUCCUCUUCCCAGUUGGUGACGCUGUGCUGAGCCUCGCAGAACACAGCGGCUUCCCGGUCGCUCAGUCCCAGGAGGGGCCCCUUGAAGCUCCAGGUUCCCUCCCCUGGGAGGAGUUGCCUGGAGGGCUACUGAGAUUUGUUCAGGACCUGAACCCCAUCCUUUCCUUCCGUGUGUUUGUUAGGGUGUUUGCUUUGGCAGAAGCUUUAAGGUAGAAAGUGGGGUAAUCCUGAGGAACAGAAUUUUCAUCUAAAGGGGCAAAAAUCAGAUUAUGCAAGAAAGGAAAAAACCAUGGCUCCCAGGGGAGUCGGAGGCUAUGAGAAAUGCAGCCCCGGAGAGGAGCAGUGUGGAUCUGGCCGACGGAGGCCUGCUCUCUGCCAGGGCACCUGCAGGCCACACAAAUGGGGCUGGGAUCUUGCAAAGCUUGCAAAGUGACGCCGGAUCCUGGGCCACGGGGCAGGGUCUGGAAGGGGUCUGGAGGGACACAUUUCCCUGAUUCAGGUCUAGAGAACAACAAAUCCACAUGCAUUGCUGUCCAGAAGAAAUCAGGAGAUGAGUCUGGGUCAACGGGGCCUGGUUAUACUUAGCCAGGGGUCUGCAGGAGCCAGAGUGCUGCAAGUCCUCCGGGAAGCUCCUGCCGGGGACGUGGUCAGCUCUUUAGAAAGCAAGCUUUCCUCUGAGCAAGGGAAGGAAAACUGCUCACUGUUGGAAUGGGUCACCAGAGGGUGCCACGGGAGGGCGGAAGUCAGCAGGUCUGCAUGCCAGUCCUGGCCGUGCCCUUGACUGGGUAUGUGACUGUGGACAGACAGUUGGCCUCUCAAAGCCUUAGUUUCUUCAUCUGCAAAUUGGGGGCACUGGAUGGGAAUAUCUCUGAGGUCCCUUCCACAUGGUUAAACUGUCCCUGUUAGUAUUGGGCAACAGUGUUCUGCCAAGACACCACCAGCAAGAUGCUUCUGGACCAGCGGCUCAUGGCUGUCACUCAAACCACUUGGAAACUGCCCAGUUCAACAGAAAGCAGUGGAAGACUGGUGGGGCAGGGAGAGCGCUGACCCCAGAACCAAGCAUCACGCUGGACUGAAAAGGUUUUUGGCCUGGACAGGAGUUCCCCCACUGGGAACCACACACAUCAUCCGUGUCUCUCCUUCCAGGUCGGUCUGGUCAAUGGCACCAUCACCCACCCACCCUAGACCAGACUAGACACCUCAGGGUCAUUAUUGACUCCUUCCUCUCCGCUCAAUGACAGCCAGUUCUCCUCUGCUCUCAAACCUGUCUCCAUCUCCCCACCGUCAGCUCCCAGCUCCUGCUCUACCUGCAGGCUGGCAGGCUGUGCCCCAAGGCACUCCCUGCUGAGCAAUCCCCACAGGCUCCAACAGCCAGAGCCCCAAGCCCAGACUCUUUUGCAUGGCCUCAGGGCUCUUACGUGUCUGGCCUUAACCUAUUUUUGGCUUUAUCUUCUGCUACUUUCCUUCCUCCGUACCUGGGCUUUAAUCACCAUGAACAAAGUAGUUGCUUUUCUUGUAAACAUUGUAGAUACCCAUUAACUAUGGCAGCAAUAGUAGAGUGGUAAAGAGGGUGAACUCUGGGGUGAAGUACCGGUGUCCGAGUCCAAGCCCCUCUGUUUACGGCUGUGUGGAUUUGGAUAGGUUACCAAACUCUGGGCCUCUGAGAGGCUCUCUCCUGUCCCUUCCCAACCUGCUCACAUUGUUCUCUUUGCCGUUCCUUUUCCACUGAAUUCCUACUCACCCAUGAAGCCCCAUCUCCAGUGCGGCACCUGCUCUGACUCUGCUGGGCAGGUGAGCUUGUCCCUCUCGUGCACACCUGUGGCACUGCUCCCCUCACAGCAGCCCUCGGCCCGGGGGUGGGAGACUCCCCCGACUCCCCUCAGAACCCCGGGCCCAGCAAACCACCUGGCACCUGGCAGCCGCCCACAUGAGCAUGGGACUCCACGAACGGGGCUUUGUAGGGGGCUUUGGAAAUAGCGGCAUCUGCUCCCCUCACCCGUCUGUCUGCUGAGCUCCUGAGGCAACAACGAGUAUCCCCCUUCCCUGUUUUAUGGCCGUUUUUAUUUUUGGAGGGGCAGUCUGCAAAGUGCCAGCAGUCCCCGAGGGCAAUGGACUUUCCUCCAGGUCAUUAGGAAGAAGCCCCUGGAAAGGAUCUUCAUGCCAGACCAAUGCUUGGCUAUUCUCGUUCUUUCUUUCAACCCACACCCACUGUGCACUUGCUAUGAGGACGCCAGGCUCUCAGGCCAUAGUGGGGUCCACACCUGUCACUUCACCUGCCCUCAUGUCGCAGGCCAGUGACUAGAUGGGAAGGCCCAGCAAUCACCAGGGUGAUUUCCAUUAGAAAGAGAGGAGAAUGGGUCUAAUUUCAGGGAGGGGGGCUGGCAAACACAGCCUGGGGGCUCAGGAGAGGACUGGGAGGCCAUGUCUGAGCAAGGCUCGGUUGCUUGUAAAGAAUGGUACCCCGUUCCCACAUCAGAAGAGUCAGCUGAACCCCGGGCUGCAGUCCCAAUAGUGCACUGCUGAGCCUGGCGCUCACCUGCAGGGUAGAUGGCACCUCAGUGCCACACCUGAGCCUCUGAGCUCUCCAGGAGGGCAUAGGCAGGCAUGUAUCAGGCACCACUGCUCACCCUGCUCGUGAGUGACGUUUUUCUGAGCACCAGGCAAGCACUUCUCCCCGGCUCUGUCCAUGCUGCCAUUGCCUUGGUUUGACUGAAUCUUCAAGGACAGGCUUGUCAUGCUAAGGGCCAUUUUCCACUUUGAGGCAUUCUUUUCUUGGUUCUCUGGUUUUAAAGAGCACUUGAUAAAAUAAAUCAGAGCACUGCUUCCCCCUCUGUCUUCCCCAUCCCAUCUACCCUUAUAACAAGAGCAGAAUCUCAUGGGGCAUACCGAGGGGUGGAGCUGGAAAGGAACAUAAAAUCACCUUCCAAACCCAGCUCAGUAUCCAAGGGAAACCUUCCUUGGAGCUGUCUCUCCCCACUCCUCAGCAAACCAUUCUGUCCUCUGUACCAGCUCCAUGUCUUGCCCAUGUUUUUGUAAUUAUACUCAUCACUGCCUAUUUGUUUUAUUUGCUACCUUGUGUGUCCUCUUUUAGCCUCUUGAUAAAACCUUAUUCAUCUUGGUGUCUCCAAUGGAGUCCUACAUGUGGGAGGGAAGAAAGAAGGAAGAAAGGAAGGGAGGGAGGAAGGAAGGGAGGAGGGAAUCGAGUUCAACCCCUUUUAUAUUCUGGAGGGAGAAACUAAGGCCCAGAGAAAAGUGACUUUUCCACAGUCACACAACUAGCCAGGGGAAGCAUGGAGCUAGAACUCAAGAAUCCUAAUGCUCAGUUUAGUGUCCAUUUUACCAAUUGGGCUGCUGACCCACACGAAGCUGCUUGGCCCAGGAAGCAAGUUGUGCGGUGCCUGGGCUACAGUAGAUCUAGAGUCCCUGAGCUGCAGAUGGGCAGCUAGGAGGGGUGACCACAGCUUCAUCCUGACUUGUCUCACUCACCAUGGCCCCGAGCAGACCAAAUGCACAUCCCUCUUGAUAUGGUUUGGCUGUGUCCCCACCCAAAUCUCAUCUUGAAUUGUAGUUCCCAUAAUCCCCACAUGUCGUGGGUGGGACCUGGUGGGAGGUAAUUGAAUCAUGGGGGCGGGUCCCCCAUGCUGUUCUCAUGAGUGAGUUCUCAUGAGAUCUGAUGGUUUUGUAAGGGGCUUUCCCCCCUUUGCUUGGCACUUCUCUCUCUCCUGCCACCUUGUUUGCUUCCCCUUCCACCAUGAUUGUAAGUUUCCUGAGGCCUCACCAGCCAUGCUGAACCAUGAGUCAGUUAAACCUCUCUCCUUUAUAAAUAACCCAGUCUUGUGUAUUUCUUCAUAGCAGCAUGAGAAUGGACUAAUACACCCCUCAGCCAUGGCCCUGUCCCCCAGCAGAUCCUGACAGCCAAGAGGGGUAGAGGUGCCCCGAAAGCCGUGGGGAGUCCCAUGCCAUUCAGCAUCUCAAGAAGCGGUGCAGCAGAGAAACCAGCUACGAGGUCCCUCACCUGUUUUUCCUCAAAUGGCAAGCCCAGGAAGGGGGCAGAGGCCACGUUCAGUGGGGUGAUGCUGUCCGAGGUGAAGGGCUUUCUAGCUCUGGCAAAGAGGUGAGCAGAAGGCCCCACCAGGGCCUCCCUAGAUCCUGAAGUGAUGCUCCCAAGCCACCUCAUUCCCCUGCCAGGCUCGGUCCUCCAUCUUCUCUGCCACCUGUCUUGGUCCCAUGCCUCCUUUAAGGGCUCCCAAGCUUCCCUGUAGGCUGAGCCCUCCUGGCGGCCUGGGAAGGAGCAAGGUCUCCGCUUCAGGAGCAGAGGCAGCCUCUCCAGUCACGGAGUGCUUCCCAUUGCCUGGCAGAGCUCCUGGGAGGCUGGAAAAGUUUUGAUUAUGAACACAGCCAAGCAGCUAAUUAAAAUAAUAAAUUAGAGAAAAACAUUGCAGGGGUAAUGGUAGCUGCAGGGAGCCGUGGAGGAAAAGGGAGGGGAAAGAAACACAUCUUCUAGGUGGCCGCCUAGGAAAGCCUGGGCCACAUUUUCUUUUUAGGGCCAUGAAAGAGGCAUGAAAGUGUGGCAUUUUGGUUCCUCCUCUGCUCAGCAGGAUCAUCCCAUAAUGAUUAUGGCUUAACUGAAACCCUAGGUGGGGUGGGGCGGUGGGAGUCAGAGAUAGGGUGACGGGGAAGAAUUGCCACCUGAAUCCUGCUUCGUGUUUUGCAAACUUUGGAAUGUGACCCAUUUGGGUGAUAAAAUAAAUUUAGUGGGUUGUAACCUGCACUAAAAAAAGUGAGCUAAAAUAGUAGAGAAAAUAUCAGCAUGCAUCUGUAUUAGGAUUUUCUAGAUGGGUAGAACUAAUAGAAUCUACGUAUAUAUGAAAGGGUGUUUAUUAAGGAGAAUCGACUCACAGGAUCACAAGGUAAAGUCCCACAAUAGGUCGUCUGCAAGUUGAGGAGCAAGGAAGCCAGUGGUGGAUCAGUCCGAGUCCCGAAACCUCAAAAGUAGGGAAGCCGACAUUGCAGACUUCAGGCUGUGUCCAAAGGCCCAAAAGCCCCUGGCAAACUACUGGUGUAAGUCCAAGUGUCCAAAAGCUGAAGAACUUGGAGUCUCAUGUUCGAGGGCAGGAAGCAUCCAGCAUGGAAGAAAGAUGAAGGCCAGAAGACUCAGCAAGUCAAGUCCUUCCAUGUUCUUCUGCCUGUUUUAUUCUAGCCAUGUUGGCUGCUGAUUAGACGGUGCCCACCCACAUUGAGGGUGGGUCUGCCUGCCCCAGUCCACUGACUCAAAUGUUAAUCUCCUUUGGCAACACCCUCACAGACGCACCCAGGAAAAAUACUUCACAUCCUUCAAUCCAAUCAAGUUGACACUCAGUGUUAACCAUCACAGCAUCAUAUACCGUAAGGGUAAGUUUAGUUUUCUGAAUGUUUCGUGUGAGCAUUUCUUAUGCUUCCAUGCAUAUCAUGAGUCACCAUCAGAAAAGUCUCAAAGUCAGCACUAUGGACAGAGAAAGUCAUUAAAGAGACCAGGCAUGCCCAUCAGUCUAAUCAUAAUAGUUAUGCAUAAUAGCUAAGCACUGAGUAUGUGGCACAAAUUGUGCUAUUUUUCUAAAUAGUAACCUCUAAUUCUUACAGGUAUUGGUAUUCUCAUGUAGCAUAUGAAAAAACUGAGGCUCAGUGAGAUUAAGUGAUUUGCCUAAUGUCUUAGUUCAAGCUGCUGUAACAAAAUGCCACAGUCUGGGUGGCUUAAACACCAGAAAUUAAUUGUCUCACAGUUCUGCAGGCUGGGAAGUCCAAGAUCAAGGUGAUCUGUUCUGGGUGGGGCUCUCUUCCUGGCUGGCCAAUGGCCGCCUUCUUGCGGUGUUCUCACCUGGUGCUUGUCUAUGGAGAAAAAGAGAGCUCUCCCUCUCUUCCUGUUCUUAGAAGACCAUCAAUCCUAGCAGAACAGAGCCAUGCCCCUAUGGACUCAUUUAGCCUUACUUACCUCCCUGUCUCCAAAUACAGGCACAUUGCUGGUUAGGGCUUCAACAUAUAACUUUUGGGGGACACAAUUCAAUCUGUAGCACCCAAUGUCCCAGGGCAAAUAAAUAAUGGAGUCUGAAUUUGAAUCCAAACUUGAGUCUGAGCCUUCCCAGCAUGCUGUGCUGCCUCGUUAAUUCAUGAAUGCCCCGAGGACACUAGGAAAGUGUGCAAUUUAGAGCUGGGGCUGCAAAGCGUGGUGACCAAGCACACAGGCCUGGGGCCAGGCAGCACUGGGCUACAGCUCCGGGACAAGGCACAGUGCUUCCCAUUCCUAAAGCAGGGCUCUAAGAGAGCCAUUCACAGCUUCAGGCAGGGCUGGGAGGAUUAAUGGGAUGAUGCACCUGCAAGGACAAGCACAGAGGCCCACCAUAGUGAGUUCCAGGAACGCUGGGAACUUUGUUUACUGAUAGACCCUAUGGGCCUAGACCCAUGCCUGGCACUUACUAGGUGCUUCAUACAAAUUGUGGACUGAGUUUUUAAUUGUCAUUUUCAUCACUGACCUGGUAUUAGAAUACCUGGGUGCCAGUGUUAGCUUUAGCAACACUAUCAGACCUUGGGUGAGAUUCAGAACCGGGUGGCCUGUUCCCUGUCUGUAAAGUGAGGAUAAUAAUGACAGUGACCAUCCAACAGCUCCUGUCAAAUGCUGGGCUCAGAACUGCAUUGGGGCCAACCCAGGUUUCCCCUCUCUGUGCUGGGUUUCGAUAAAGAGUGCAGGGUGAUAGACUAGAGAGGACCUCGUUCUGGGGGAGAAAGGAAGCUUGUGUUUCCCCUGUGCUGUGCCUCAUACCUCGGCAGGCUCAGGCAGGAGGACCGCGAUUGGACGCUGGGGGUGUCUGUGUGGGAGGGAACCUUCUCUUGUUGGAAGGGAUCCUCACUGGCCAACGCCCCCUCCUGGGGAAUUCUGGUGAGUUCCUAGGGACUUGGUGCUCUGUCCCUAGGGACUGGGCCUGCAGGCUGCCCAGUGUCUACCCCGGAGGAGAUUGCAGCAGGUCUUGGGGACCGGACGCCAGGAACCCCUGUGUUGGAGACUGAGGUCUGAACCUUCAAAAUCCAACCAUCCCCCACCAGGGAAAGAAGUCUGAGCUGAGCUGGUCCCUGGGAAGCUGGUCCACGGCCAGCCAGGCCCUCGGCAGGGGUAUUUUUAACUGGAAGCAGGGAGCGCUGCAUGAAGGAAGCUCCCCUUGCUGGCAACUGCACCAGUAACACACUUGCUGCGCAGCUGUGUGCACUGCCACCCACAGGCCCUUCUCCUUCCCUCCCCAAAAGGAUGCACACACCCAACAGGCCCUGGGUCCUCCCCAACCGUGGUCACCAUGUCUGCUGCCCACUCCCACCUACGGGACCUUGGCACAGGCAGGAGCGCAGGGUCCGAGGCCUUCCACAAAUAUUUGGGCAGAGCACCUCAAGACAGCCCUAGGGACUAAAGAGCCGAUGACCCUCUGGCCCCAUCUGCUACUGCCCAGCCCUCUCCUGGUGCCCGGCCGGUGGUGUCUACACGGAGUCCACCUCCUCUACCCUCCCGUCUCUGCACUUUCCUGAAAGUGCUUUCCCCACAGCUGCCCCUCUGUUGCUAAGCCCAGUGGCCUCUCACCGCUGACCUUCUCAGGCCCCUGGCUUCCCUCCCACCUCGCUGACUGUUCCGCCUCAGGCUCCCCUGAUCAAACUGUAAGCACUGAUCAGCUUGUCUGGGGCUCUCUUGGUUUUAGACUAAAAGUCUCACAUCCUGGGAACUCCCUCAGUUCAGGGCAAACUGGGACUGUGGGUCACCCCAGACUCACCCUGACCUUGGGGACACCCCAGAUCACCCUGACCUUGGGGACACCCUAGACUCACCCUGACCUGUGGGGACGCCCAUGUCUCCUUCUUGCCUCUCGUUUCCUCUUGAUCUCCAUGCUCUCCCUAAGGGAUCUCCUGUAUUUCUGUGGCUGCAGCUGCCAUUGGGGUGGGGAUGAUCCCCAAGUCUGGGGUGCCAGCCUAACUUUCUCCUGAGAUCCAGACCUGUAAGCUAACUGCCUACAGGGCAUCUCUGCUCAGAGGUCUCCUGGCACCUCGAAAAGUCACCAUGUCUACAUCUGACCUCACCAUCUGACCCCAAACUUCUCUCUCCAGUCUCUGGUUUCAAUGAAGAGCUCUACCAUCCAUCAGGAGAUUCAUAUCCCAGGCACCUCUUCCAGCCAAAGGAAUCUCUUCUUGUCAAUUUCACCUCCUAAGUCCCUUGACUCCAAGUAUUUCUGUCCCCGCUGUCAUCCCCACAGUGCAGGUCAUGACCAUCUCUCACUUUGAUCGGUGCGAAGUCUAGAGGAAGUGUCAACAGUGGCCAUUCCUGGGAUGGCCAGUGGUAUGGGUUGGACUGUGUCCCCCCAAAUAUAUGUUGAAAUCCUAACCACCGGAACUGUGAACAUGGCCUUAUUUGGAAAUAAGAUCUUUGCAGAUGUAGUCAAGUUACAAUGAGGUCAGAAGGGUGGGCCCUAAUCCAACAUGACUGGCGUCCUUGGAAGAGGAAGACGUCACGCGAAGACAGAGACACACAGGAGAGCAGCAUGUGACAGCAGAGGCCUUAGAGAUUGGAGGGAGGCAGCUGCAAGUCAAGGAGUGCUGAGAAUUGCCAGCCACUCUCAGAAGCUGGAAGAGGUGAUAAAGGGUCCCUCCCCUAGAAGCUCCAGAGGAAGCACAGCCCUGCUGAUGCCCUGAUUUUGGACUUGUAGCCUCCAGAACUGUGAGAGAGUGAAUUUCUGUUGCUUAAAGCUAUCCAGUCUAUGGCACUUUGCUACAGCAGCCCUGGGAAGCUAACAUAGGGAGAUAAGGACAAUUUUCAUUUUCUUAGCAUACUUUUCAGUAUUUUAGAGGUGAUCUGUAGUGGAUACACAAGACUUUUAUGAUUAGGAAAAACAUAGUCAUUCUUAAAAAGAAGUGCUCAUCAGUAGGAAUCCUAAGCGUCCUAUUGGAUUUGUCCCUGAGAAUUGAAGCCAUCUAUGCCACACAGUUUACUGUCCUCAUCAACACAGCUUUUUUAUUCCACAGGAGACUCUUGCCCAGGAAGAUAAAAGCUGAACAUAAUUUUAUUGUUCAUUUCGGGGACUUUGCAAAUAACAUUUACACAAACAGCAGAUUGUACAACUUUUUAAUAGCAUCUAAUGACUGUCUUUUCACCAAGACUCUUCAAAAACUCUUGCCUUGCCAUGUCUUCCCAUCCCAAACUCCUAGGUCAUGGCUCUUCCCAAUCUUAAUCAAGUCCCUGCAGGAAAGAUGCUCAAAACUCAGACAUAUCCCAUUUGCAUUUGGUUUUCUGAGAUGAUUCUAAGACUCUGUAAAGGGUCUUCUCCCUUACCAUGGUAGCAGGAAACCUGGCUGCCUUAUCUGAGGGUUGAUUUGGUGGUAUUUUCAGGCAUUUGACAUCUGAUAUUCAAAAUAUUGCAUUUAUGGAAUGCAACCCCAAUCAUCCCUGAAUUGUAGCCAGGGAAACAGGCUCCUCGAACUUCAGUUGCUCAAGGCCACACCAUUAGUAGCUGGCAGAGCCUAGGUCCAGCUGCCUGCAAAGCCUGCACUCUUACCCUUCUCCUACUUUCCCAAAUUUAGUGAGACUGUAAUACAAAAUACUUAUAUUCUGGUGUCUGGCUAUUUUUGGGUGGUAUUCGGCUCCCAAUUGUCCAGAUAAUGGCCCCAAGCGGACAGGCUAUGGUCCUCAGGAAGACAUCACCCAGGCAGGUUUCCUGCGGGGAGUCACCAUAGAGACCAUUUCCAUCACAGGCAGCAGCAGCCUGAGCUUCCGGGACUUCUGUUUCCCUGCCCUGGGCCUGGAGAAUGUUAACCAUGAAAGGCAAAUGGGCUUCGGUUGGAAACAAGCCAUUAUUAGCCACUAUUUCAGGCAGUCACAUUUCCCACAAGGCACUUGUGCAACAAGUUAGCAGGGAAGAAAGAAGCCGAGCCUUUGUACGGCGGGGCCAGAACACAAAGCUCAUUGUGAUGUUUGUGCUUCUAUUCAGACGCCACGUGGUACGGACUCCACGCCAACCUGCAGACUGGAUUCUUUUCUUCCCCCUCAGUAACAAACAUACACAUUUGCUUUAAAGUAGGCAGAAUUUGCCCAUGGGUGGUCUUUGAUUUGGAAGAAAUCAACUUCAAAGUGGUGACUCACAAAAAACAAAGGUGGCUUGACUCAUUCAGUGCUCGGGAAAGGGGAUGUGUGUGCAGAAUUCACUCAUCCAGAAGCAGAAGUUGAAGACAAGGAGUAAAUACUUCAGGUAGACAAUCAGCCAGUCAUCCUGCUUGGUCUUGUAAUGGGCCAUGGCUGCUGAGUCUAGAGAAGGCACACAGGCUGGGCUGGGGAAUUACCGAGAGCCACCUCACCCCUCCAGGAGCCAGGGCGCCUCAGCCAGGUUCCCUUUGAAGGGCUUAUUUGCCUGUCUUGCCAGGGAUCUUUGAGGCUGUGGGUGUGCAGCAUAGAGUAAAGAUCAGGGAAUCGCAAAGGCUACUGGAUGCCUUAGUGGAGGUGAAUUUGGGCAGAAUUUUCCAGACCUUCAGGUGCCGGUUUUGUUCUCUUGACAAAGGUCUAACCCACAAAUCUUCCACAGAUUUCCCUGGCCUUGUUGUGUUCUUAUUCUCUUUCCCUGUCUCAUCAGGGUUGCAGGACACAAGUUUAUCUGUCAUAGACACACACUCUUUCUCUCUCUCUCUCUCUCUCUCUCACACACACACACACGUUCAGCAUGGCUGCUUUGCAGUGGAAACCUGUACUGCACAUCCACAGGUGUGGCAGGAGUCCCAUAUCAGAGCAUCUGUGCCGGAAAGACCUCAAUGAUGACCCAUUCUACCUUACCUGGCCUCUACACCCCUUGACUUCCCAGAUGAGGAAGCAGGUCCAGACAGGCCCAGACUGUUUGGCAGAAGAAGUCUAAGAGCCUCUGGAGUCUUAACUCCUUGGGUUCAAACCCUGAUCUGUCACAAGGUGUGUGACACUUUGGGCAAGUGACAUGACUUCCCAUCUCUCAGUGUUCUCAUCUGUAAAUGGGGAUAAUGAUACCUACAUCACAGGGUUGUUUUGAAGAUUGAAUGGGAUAAUCUAUGUGACGUGUUUAGCAUAGUCCUUGGCACAUAGUAAGUAUUUAAUGUUAGCUUUUAUUAUUACAUGCCAUAGAGCUGGUACUAGAACCUACGACCCCAAUCCUAAAACUCCACUCUUUGCCCCAGCACCAUGCUCUGUCUCUUGUCCGGACACCCGUCAAUGGACUUUCUAGGGAAAGUCAACAUUGGUGAUAAAGGCAGAGAAGGCCCACUGUACUCAGUAAUCGCAUUUGCUUCUUAGUCAGUCUGAACCUCAGUAAGUCUGAAGCCUCUAUGGUUUCCUCUUCACCUGGACCUACUUGUACCCCUGGGCACCUGCACACUCACAGAGUAGUUGCUCUUUAAGAAAUUGUCCCCAUUUUGGGAAGCUCUUUUAUUUCAGAACCAUACGCAAUGAGGCAUUGGUUUUGCCCAUGACCUUCUCUUCCUCUAUCAUUCCCAACCCCCCAUCAGGCCCUCCUCCCCGCUUGCUCUUGCCUCUUUGGCUGGUGCUGGGCCAAAGCCCAAAUUACUUCCCUGAGCCACUGCUCUGCCUUUUAUUUCAAGCUUAUGGGCUCAUGGAGACAGGGAGAGAAGAGGAGAGAAAAGAAAAGGUGGCUGUCUUAUUUGGGAUUUCUAUUUGCAGACCUUGAAGAAGGUAAUUUAAGACUGUUAGUCUUCUCAUUAAAAAAAGACAAAACCCAUUUUUCUUCAAUUUAGUUUGAGAGAUAGGGUGGUGGAAGAGAUAUAGGAGAAAAAAAGGAAGCCUGUCAAGAAUGGCGAUGGAUGGGGGUGGCCAGGCAAUCGAGCAGAAGGUGUUUGGAGGUCAUUCUGCAGUCGGCCCUGACAAGAGACUGGGUGCAGCGUCCUCUGGGUGCCAUGGGUUUUUAGUAAGCUGAGGGAUUUGUGGGGGCCUGGGCGCUACUGUCUGCAGUUUCCCUCCCUCUGCACGUCCCUCCCCUCCCAGCCAGGGCCCACUAGACUCCUAACACAGAACCUUCUCUCGAUCUGCAGCAGAGGGGCACGAUUCACUCACUCAAACCAAGGGGUCAGGGCCCCUGAAAGGAAAAUUGUAUUUUUUAAAAAGGACUUCAGGCAGAAGAUAGGACUUAACAAAGAAAAACGUAAUUCUAAUGGUAAAAUUUUAGCCAUUAUUGGUAGAGAAGAUAGAACCACAGAAUGUCAGGGUUAAGGGGAAACCUUGGGGCUCACUUAAUUCAAUCUUUUGCAGACAGAAUGAGGAAAUUUACCCAUCGGAGCUAAAACGCACAUCUUAAAAUGACUUCUCUAGAAGUCUGUAAUCGAUGGUUGCAGUUUUCUAUCCCCCACUAUUCAAGGCUCCAUCUCCUGUAAUAUCCCACCACACUUGGGUCCCUGUGCUGGGAGUGGCAAAGGCCCCAAAGAAACUUGGAGCCGGAUGCCUGGAUCUCAAAGCUAGCCUUGCCAUUUUACUGGCUGUGUGACCUUGGGCAAGUUACUUAACCUCUCUGUGCAGGUCACAUUUAUGGAACACUUUCGCGUGCCAGAUGCAGACCUAAGUGCUUUACGUGCAUUAUUCUGGUGCCUCUUUCCAAUACCCCUAUGAAGUAGGGCUAGUCCCAUUUUGCAAUAUAACCGAGGUUCACACAGGUUAAAUAACUUGUCCAAAGUCACACAGCAAGUAAAUGGCAAAGCCAGAGUUGAAUGAGGAAUCCCUGGCUCUGGCCUCAAGCUCUUACCCACUGUGCAGUACUCUCAGGACCAGGGAACCCAGGGCAAGGCAGGAAGGGGUGGGGGGCAGAGACUGAUGGUUUCCCUCAUACCCACUGUGCAGUACUCUCAGGACCAGAGAACCCAGGGCAAGGCAGGAAGGGGUGGGGGGCAGAGACUGAUGGUUUCCCUAAUAUUUGUUCUCCCCUUUUUCAUUGGGAAUAGAGCAUCUCCAUUUUAAUUGGGUACUUGGUCACCUGGAGCAAAAGACAUUUCCCAGCCUCUCUUCCGGCUAGGCAUAGCCAGGAUUCCCUGUUUGCCGGAGAGCGGUAUGUAAGCAGAAAUGGUAUAUGCGGCUUUUUAGAAGGAUCGUUUUUUGGUAUCUGUUUCAUGUUCAUUUACAAAGAAUGUACAUCCUGUCAUUGUAGAGUACAGAAUUCUGUAUGUGUCGAUUAGGUCAAAUUUGUUAAUUGCGCUUUUCACAUCUUCUGUAUCCUUACUGAUCUGGUGUCUGAUUGGUCUAUUGGCUAUUGAAAGAUGCCUGUUACAGGCUCUCCCUACAAGUGUGAAUUUGUCUAUACCUUAUUUAAGUCUCUUAAAUUUUGCUUCGUAUGUUUUGCAGAUAUUUUAUGGAGUACAAACAGAUUUGGAGUUAAGAUAUUAUUCUGGCGGAUUAAUCCCUUUAUCGCUAAUAAUGUCAUUAUCUGUCUUUUAACAGUUAGAAGUAUAUAUAUAUAUAUUUUUUCUGAGACAGAGUUUCAUUUCGCUCUUGUUGCCCAGGCUGGAGUGCAAUGGCGCAAUCUUGGCUCACCGCAAUCUCUGCCUCCCAGGUUCAAUCGAUUCUCUUGUCUCAGCUUCCCGAGUAGCUGGGAUUACAGGCAUGCACCAACACACCCGGCUAAUUUUUUGUAUUUUUAGUAGAAACGGGGUUUCUCUAUGUUGGUCAGGCUGGUCUCAAAGUCCUAACCUCAGGUGAUCCACCCGCCUCGGCCUCCCAAAGUGCUGGGAUUACAGGCAUGAGCCACCGCACCCAGCCAGAAGUAUCUUUAGAGUGGUGGGGGCAUGUCUCUCUUCACCCUUUCCUUCUUCCUGUUGGUUGGAAUGCUGAUGUUGUGGCUGGAGCUGAAGCAGCUCUAUUGAACCGUGAGCUGAAAACUAUGGGUUGAAAAGGAGUAACAAUUAGUUCAAAGAUUCUGGGUCUCAGAUGGUUUCAGAGCUGCCGUUCAUCCCUGAGCUGCUUACCUCCAGACUUAGUUUACAUUAGAGAACAACAAACUUGUAGCUUCUUUAAGCUACAUGUUUGUGCCAGGGGCACUGCAGUGGGGGCAAUAAGACCAGAGGCCCAUGGCAGGCAGUGGUCGCCGAGCUCUUCUGACUGUACACCCCCUCAAAUUUCUUAUUUAUAAUUUUUAUUCAUGUACUAUUGUCCAUUUAUAUAGCAGGUAUUCAUCAAAACUUCAUUUUGCAGUUUUGAAAGUUAAAAAAUAAUGAGGGAUAGGGAUUUCAGUAAGUUUUCCCUGUAUCCCAGUAUAUUGUCUGUUGCCACCUUGGAGACCACUGGUGCAGAGUGUGCAUGGAGUGGGUGAGAGCUGAAGGUUAGGUGGGGUCAGGUCAAGAGUGACCUUACAUGUGAAGCUCGGGGACUUGAAUUAAUGUCCUGAAAGUGAUGCUGACCCCAGGAAGGUGGUGCUUAAGUUCGAGAAAGAGAUGGUGGAGGAAUGGAGAUAGGGGACAGACACCUGACUGGCGCAGAGGGAGGCCCCAUCAGGCAGGCAGUGUGCUCCAGGAAGAGGCAGGAGAGGAAAGACCCCAGGAGUGGGCAGAGGAAGAAGCAGCCAGGUGGGAAGUUGAAACAGAGGCGGGGGUAGAAGGAGAACCAGGGGAGUGGGGGUCCAGGUAGCCAAGGAGGACAGGGUGGGCUGCAGUACUGCAUGCUUGCUAAGAGGUCCAAGCAAGGGCUCACCUUUGUCCAUGAAGGAUACAUGGGGAUCAUAGGGAUGCACCAUGAAGGGAGGGGAAACGGAGACCUGGAGGUGAAUAUUUUCAAAUGAGAAGGCUGGGAGGGAAGCAGCUAGAAGGUCAGGGAAAGGAAGUGCUUUUGUGUGAUGAGGGAGGGCGGCUCGGGCAUGCCUAGUGCACUGGGAAAGGCUCCAAAGCCUGCUUAACUCUGCUGCCUCCGGGGAAGGGGACAGGGCUGAAGGAAGGUGAGUGGAAGAGCUCCAGCCACCACUUCCAGCCCUCCUCCUGACUGUCCCAGUGGAUUCCCCUCUCUGGGACCUCAUUGUACCCCAAUUUCCUUUUCCCUGGAGAGUGAUAUAUCAGGGGAGGUAGGUGGGGGAACAUGGCAAUGGCUGCAGCUGCCCCUGGAGAGGAGAAAAGCAAACAUAAGCCACUUGAUGUGAGCUUAUCUGCCAGCGAAUGGAGGGGCCAGGGCUUUGGAUAAUCCCCCAAAUCAUUUUUCAUUGAGCUUUGAGUGUCUUAUGAUUGCUGGGAAGCCGACUGGCCUUCCUAAGUGGGUGUUAUUUCUGUUCAUAGCAGUUGGGAGCUGGGCUUGGGAACCAAUUGAAGGAAGUGUUCCUGAGGGGCACCAGCUAGACAGCAGGGGGCAGGCAAGGCAGAGACUCCCACUACGGGUGUAACCAAUGCUGGAUGCAGAAUCACGGACAAGCCUCUGAAGACAAAGGAGAGGGACCGUACCUCCCAGAUCCCUGGCCUCGCGACGCUGAUCUCUUCCUUGGCCUCUAAAAGGCACAUCUGUGUCCUCCCUUUGGCCCUUUGUUCAGGCUGUGGCCUGAAUCUGAAACCCCUGCUACUCUGUCCCAAUGCUCCAGGGCUCAGGGGGACUCUACCCCUCCCUGAAGGUGGCUAUUUCCACCUUCCCAGACCCCCAGGGCAAAGCCCAGCAUCCACGGACUGCAGCAGUUGGCCUGGGUGCUUCUCAGCAUCUUAUUUAACAGACUGACUGAUUUGGUUACCUUCCCGAGCUUGUGGACUGAGAUGGGGACAGCGGUGCCACACAGUGGGGUCCAGACCCUCUUUCUGGCUCUGCCCUUUACUUGCUGCCUGUGCUUGGCGAGGCAAGCUACUUCCCUCCCUGAGUGUUUGGUUUCCCACCUGCAGGGAAAAGCAGCGGCUCUCCUGCUUAGGUCUUAGAAUUACCUGGGGGACUCGUUAAAGUGAAGAUCUCAGGGCCCACCCCCAGAGUUUCUGAUUCAUUAGGUUUAGUGUGAGACCCUGAAGGAUUUGCUCCCAGGCAGGGUGACUGAUAAUCCCCAUUUGCCCGGGACAGAGGGAUUUCUUGGGAUACAGGAGUGCUGUUCAGGGUUAAACCUGGGCAAUCCUGGGAAACCAGGAUGGCUAGUCACUGCUCCCAGGUGCUGCUGGUCUUGGGACCACACUUUGCAUCAAUGUUCUCUAAGGUCCCUUCCAACUCUGAAAGUCCCUGUGCCUGCAGUAUAAGUACCCUUCACCUCUGAAACAGGCAUAACUGGGUGGGACAUGAGGGUGGGCCCGUCCUCUCAUGCAAAUUCACAUUUAGGACACAGUUCCUGUUGAAAUGAUAAAGAUCUCCCAGAUUGCCCGGCAAUGAGCCUCAAGGUGCCUUCCCCCCAGGAAGAGGUUCUGACUGUAGCACAAAGGUGGGAUUCAGGGGCAGCCAGCAGGUGCGGGGGCGGUGAAUGUCAUUGUCAGGAUCCAUGCCAUAGGACAUCUCAGAAAGGCAACCACAGAUGCCUUGAAGGUGAACUGAUGCAUUUUGGGGACUUUCAUCAGGGCUGGAUGUGUAAUGGCAUGGCUGUGAGACUUGAGGAUCAUUGUCCUCCUACUGCAUCCCCCCGCUCUCCCAAGCAGAUGAGGCUCAAAGCACAGAGAUGCAGGAUGUGUAGGAAGAGCCCAGCUGGCUGGCCAGAUGUGCUGGGAGUCCUGGUGAGCAGGGCAGGCUCCAGCCGGGGCCAGUGCCCAGGAGCACAGGGUACCACAGGUGUUGGCUGGUGGGCAAGACCAAGUCCUUUAAUAGUGAUGGGGAGCAAGGGGUGGGAGCUGGCUGUAUAGAUCAUACAUAAACACAUGGCGUUUUGAGGCCCUGGGUGAGCUGCAUCCUUCACUCCCUCAACAAACAUGUAUUGAGUGCCUGCUAUGUGCUAUGUGCUGGUACUUGGAACAACUGGACUUGCUCCUUCAGGAGGUCACAGCAGUCGUGAGGGUGGGGCACAUGCAUGCAAACAACUUCCAGACACUGGAGAGCACUUUCAGAGAUGCUGGCCCGUCCUGAUGGGAGCGCAGAGGGACAGGCAUUGAUUCUGCCAGACGAGGGUGGUGGGGGUGGAUGGCAAAAGAAAGGGGCAUUUAAUUUGGUCCUUAAAAACAGGCAGGGUUUCUGCGGGCAGAAAAGGAGGGAGGGCUGCCCAGGGAGAGGGGACAGUGUGAGCAAAGGCCUGGCGGCAUGGCUGGGCAGGGUGGGCCGGCGGGGGCAGGAAGGGCUGGGAAGCCAUGUCUGGGCCUGGAACAAACUUGGCCUCACUAAGUUGUGACUUUCCGCUUUCCCCCACAUUCUCUACUCCUGGGAUCUCACCAACCUCUUAUUCUUUGUCUGCUCCCAUUAGCAAAAGCUGAGGUUGGGAGGGACCUGACUCUCCGUUCCCUAAGGGAAGAGCACCCCAUACCAGGGGAGGGCUUUUGGGGCGCCUGAUGUUUCUGAAAACAAACAAGCAAACAAACAAAACUGGCAUAUUUCACUUAACAUAACGUCCUCCAGGUUCAUCCACAUGUCACAGACAACAAGAUUCCCUUCUUUUAUAAGGCUAAAUAGCAUUCCAUUGUAUAUAUAUGCCACAUUUUCUUUACCCGUUCAUCCCCUGAUGGCCGCUUAAGUUGAUUCUGUAUCUUGGCUAUUGUGAACAGUAAUGAAAUGAACAUGGAAUGCAGAUAGCUCUUCAACAUACUAAUUUCAUUUCCUUUGGAUAAAUACACAGUAGCAUCUUAUGUUAAGUGAAAUAAGCCAGGCACAGAAAGACAAAUACCACAUGAUCUCACUCAUACGUGGAAUCUAAAAAGUUGAUCCCAUAGAAAUAGAGUGUAGAAUGGUGGUGGGGGGAAGUGGGGAGGGGAAGAGAUGUUGGUUAAAGGGUAUAAAAUUUCAGUUGGACAGGAGGAAUAAGCUCAAGAGAUCUAUUGCAUGUCGGGACUCUGUAUGGUUAAUAACAUUGUAUUUUUUUUUUUAUACUUUAAGUUCUAGGGUACAUGUGCACAACGUGCAGGUUUGUUACAUACGUAUACAUGUGCCAUGUUGGUGUGCUGCACCCACCAACUAGUCAUCUACAUUAUGUAUAUCUCCUAAUGCUAUCCCUUCCCAUGACAGGCCCCGGUGUGUGAAGCUCCCCACCCUGUGUCCAAGUGUUCUCAUUGUUCA
This 25076-nucleotide long non-coding RNA is filed under the name Homo sapiens (human). RNAcentral's name for it is "non-protein coding lnc-TSPAN9-1:6". The record is from RNAcentral. Lineage: Eukaryota; Metazoa; Chordata; Mammalia; Primates; Hominidae.